Molecule: ribosomal RNA, 459 nt
Filed under: uncultured bacterium
Lineage: Bacteria
Description: partial 16S ribosomal RNA
Rfam family: Bacterial small subunit ribosomal RNA
Source: RNAcentral
CCUACGGGAGGCAGCAGUGAGGAAUAUUGGUCAAUGGGCGGGAGCCUGAACCAGCCAAGCCGCGUGAGGGAAGAAGGUACAGCGUAUCGUAAACCUCUUUUGUCAGGGAACAAAGGCGGGGACUAGUCCCCGGAUGAGGGUACCUGAAGAAAAAGCAUUGGCUAACUCCGGGCCAGCAGCCGCGGUAAUACGGAGGAUGCGAGCGUUAUCCGGAUUUAUGGGGGUUAAAGGGUGCGCAGGCGGCCUGUUAAGUUAGCGGUAAAAGCCCGGGGCUCAACCCCGGCGAGCCGUUGAAACUGGCGGGCUGGAGUUGGAGAGAGGUACGCGGAAUGCGCGGUGUAGCGGUGAAAUGCUUAGAUAUCGCGCAGAACCCCGAUUGCGAAGGCAGCGUACCGGCUCCACACUGACGCUGAGGCACGAAAGCGUGGGUAUCGAACAGGAUUAGAUACCCGGGUAGUC